This 398-nucleotide ribosomal RNA is filed under the name uncultured bacterium. RNAcentral's name for it is "partial 16S ribosomal RNA". It matches the Rfam family "Bacterial small subunit ribosomal RNA", at positions 523 to 918 of the family's 1533-position model. The record is from RNAcentral.
AUACGUAGGGUGCGAGCGUUGUCCGGAAUUACUGGGCGUAAAGAGCUCGUAGGUGGUUUGUCGCGUCGUCUGUGAAAUUCCGGGGCUUAACUCCGGGCGUGCAGGCGAUACGGGCAUAACUUGAGUACUGUAGGGGAGACUGGAAUUCCUGGUGUAGCGGUGAAAUGCGCAGAUAUCAGGAGGAACACCGGUGGCGAAGGCGGGUCUCUGGGCAGUAACUGACGCUGAGGAGCGAAAGCAUGGGUAGCGAACAGGAUGAGAUACCCUGGUAGUCCAUGCCGUAAACGGUGGGCGCUAGGUGUAGGGGUCUUCCACGACUUCUGUGCCGUAGCUAACGCAUUAAGCGCCCCGCCUGGGGAGUACGGCCGCAAGGCUAAAACUCAAAUGAAUUGACGGGG